UACGGGGGGGGCAAGCGUUGUUCGGAAUUACUGGGCGUAAAGGGCUCGUAGGUGGCCAACUAAGUCGGACGUGAAAUCCCUCGGCUUAACCGGGGAACUGCGUCCGAUACUGGAUGGCUUGAGUUUGGGAGAGGGAUGCGGAAUUCCAGGUGUAGCGGUGAAAUGCGUAGAUAUCUGGAGGAACACCGGUGGCGAAGGCGGCAUCCUGGACCAACACUGACGCUGAUGAGCGAAAGCCAGGGGAGCAAACGGG
This 253-nucleotide ribosomal RNA is filed under the name uncultured bacterium. Its description in RNAcentral is "partial 16S ribosomal RNA". It matches the Rfam family "Bacterial small subunit ribosomal RNA", at positions 524 to 776 of the family's 1533-position model. The record is from RNAcentral.